CCUACGGGAGGCAGCAGUGGGGAAUAUUGCACAAUGGGGGAAACCCUGAUGCAGCGACGCCGCGUGAGUGAAGAAGUAUUUCGGUAUGUAAAGCUCUAUCAGCAGGGAAGAAAAUGACGGUACCUGAAUAAGAAGCCCCGGCUAACGACGUGCCAGCAGCCGCGGGAAUACGUAGGGGGCAAGCGUGAUCCGGAUUUACUGGGUGUCAAGGGAGCGUAGACGGCAGCAUAAGUCUGGAGUGAAAUGCCGGGGCUUAACCCCGGAACUGCUUUUGAAACUGUGCAGCUAGAGUGCAGGAGGGGUAAGUGGAAUUCCUAGUGUAGCGGUGAAAUGCGUAGCUAUUAGGAGGAACCCCAGUGGCGAAGGCGGCUUACUGGACUGUAACUGACGUUGAGGCUCGAAAGCGUGGGGCGCAAACAGGAUUAGAUACCCUAGUAGUC
RNAcentral lists this ribosomal RNA (440 nucleotides) under uncultured bacterium. RNAcentral describes it as "partial 16S ribosomal RNA". It matches the Rfam family "Bacterial small subunit ribosomal RNA", at positions 338 to 795 of the family's 1533-position model. The record is from RNAcentral.